GGAGGUAUUGCUCAGUGGUAGAAUGCAUGCUUGGUGUGCAUGAGGUCUUGGGUUCAACCCCCAGUGCCUCUG
This 72-nucleotide transfer RNA is filed under the name Camelus bactrianus (Bactrian camel). It matches the Rfam family "tRNA". Rfam says of the family: Transfer RNA (tRNA) molecules are approximately 80 nucleotides in length. Their secondary structure includes four short double-helical elements and three loops (D, anti-codon, and T loops). RNAcentral also lists the same sequence under 3 other names. The record is from Rfam by way of RNAcentral. Lineage: Eukaryota; Metazoa; Chordata; Mammalia; Artiodactyla; Camelidae.